Molecule: ribosomal RNA, 253 nt
Filed under: uncultured bacterium
Lineage: Bacteria
Description: partial 16S ribosomal RNA
Rfam family: Bacterial small subunit ribosomal RNA
Source: RNAcentral
UACGUAGGGUGCAGGCGUUAAUCGGAAUUACUGGGCGUAAAGCGUGCGCAGGCGGUUUCUUAAGUCAGAUGUGAAAGCCCCGGGCUUAACCUGGGAACUGCGUUUGAAACUGGGAGACUUGAGUGUGGCAGAGGGGGGUAGAAUUCCACGUGUAGCAGUGAAAUGCGUAGAGAUGUGGAGGAACACCGAUGGCGAAGGCAGCCCCCUGGGUCAAGAUUGACGCUCAUGCACGAAAGCGUGGGGAGCAAACAGG